This 36-nucleotide small nuclear RNA is filed under the name Cervus elaphus hippelaphus. The record is from RNAcentral. Lineage: Eukaryota; Metazoa; Chordata; Mammalia; Artiodactyla; Cervidae.
AUCAUUUCUCGGCCUUUUGGCUAAGAUGAAGUACAG